AAAAAUGGUCACCCCAUAAGCCAAAUUAACUCUCUCUCCUUGACUCACAAUCUGCACAGGGAAAAGGCAAGUUCCACGGGAGGCAUUACGAGUGACAAUGGUACCCAACCCAUUGAAAUCGCAGGCCUCAACGUCUUGACUAUUCAUUUGGAAAUACAUAUUAAAAGCAUAAGAAGCAUUGCCUCUAAGGUCCAAAUUCCCGCAGGAAGAUCCAUGGGUUAAGCUUGUACAAUCUGAAUGGUAGCAAGCAUAGCUUAGUGCACUAGGUAUCAAGCUCUCGUCCCUAACCUCAUCAUUAAGUACACACCAUUGUUUCUGCAUGUACUGAACACCCUUUGCAGCUAUUAGCAUCUUAUCAUUGCCUUGUCCAGAUAAAUCCAUAGGAAAUUUGGCCUGCCCAUCGUAUCGAAACAGACCCCAGUGCCUCUCAAAGAAGCCUGGCAAGAUGCUCUUCACGUCCUCGUCCAGCAGGCUGAAGAGAUAAACAUUUAAUAUGCCUGGUCGAAGUGGGGUUCCUUUCUUAUCUGCCAAUUUUUUGAGAAGACCAUCGUAGAAUUUCUGUGCAUACAUGGUAGUAGCAUACUGGGCACCAUCUGUAGGCCAACCAACUUCCCCAACAAUGAUCUUUAAAUCAGGAACACCAGCUUUUGUUAGAGCCCAAACAAGGGUAUCAUAAUUUGCGUCGAAAACGUUGGAGUAUGUAACGUUUUUGUCAUAUACUUUUCUGCCACUGCCUUCAAAGAAAGCGUAUUCUACAGGGAAGCCAGCGGUCUGGUAGACACUAAGGAAGGGGUAAAUGUUAACAAUGAAGGGAGCCUUGUGCUGUUGGAGAUGCUUGACGAUUUUGAGCAUUACAUUUCUCACGUUACUGCGAAAGUUACCAUCUGAGGGUUUGUUUCCGUCAUAAACAUCGGCAUUUAGGGCUACUGAGGCUUUAAUCUUGUCUCCAACUCCUACUUCGUCCAGAGCCUUUUGGAUGUUUUGUAAAGCUGGGAAUGUACUUUCAUCAUAUUUGCCUUCAUAUGCUUCCAAGAAUGGUUCAUUUCCUACCGACACAUAUCUGAUAUCUACACCCCUUUUGUCUCCAAAAUCUUUAAGAUGACUGGUGAUAUUUUCUUUAACCCAAUCUUUAGCAUUAUCAUAACUGUCAGAAAUAUAAUCUAACAUGUUAUUAGGGAUGCCAACCAUGACCUCAAUGUUAGAACCAGCCAAGGAAUUUAAGGUCCAAGAAUCAGCGUCGAAAAGCUUAACCUUUGUUAUGCCAUUGUCUUUUAACAUUUUAACCGCAAUGUCAGGUGGCAAAGGAUGCGAAGCC
RNAcentral lists this unclassified non-coding RNA (1315 nucleotides) under Hevea brasiliensis (rubber tree). Lineage: Eukaryota; Viridiplantae; Streptophyta; Magnoliopsida; Malpighiales; Euphorbiaceae. The record is from RNAcentral.